Phrynosoma platyrhinos (Desert horned lizard) is the source of this 73-nucleotide non-coding RNA. The record is from the annotation of a GenBank genome assembly. NCBI's taxonomy places the organism in Eukaryota, Metazoa, Chordata, Lepidosauria, Squamata, Phrynosomatidae.
GGCUAGCAUGGCACAGUGGUCUGAGCACUGGACUAUGACUCUGGAGACUAGGGUUUGAAUCCCGGCUCAGUCA